Jatropha curcas is the source of this 351-nucleotide non-coding RNA. NCBI's taxonomy places the organism in Eukaryota, Viridiplantae, Streptophyta, Magnoliopsida, Malpighiales, Euphorbiaceae. The record is from RefSeq and is a predicted model, not a curated record.
CCUUUAAGUGAAGUGAACCCAUUUUAUAGCCAAUUGUUAGAAGACAGAGAAAAUCUAAAUUCUCUCAUCUCCUUGCUCUUCGACGCCGAUAGCCCUCUCUCCUUUCUCUUUUUUAUUUUUCCAGUCAACUCAAUCAUUUUCAAUGAUCGAGCACUCUAAACCCAAGUACUCAAUGAGAGGAAUAUGAAUAUAACUUUAGAUUGAGCUCUUGUUGCAUUGUUGAACAAAAAUCGAAGUUUGAAGAUUCGAGUGUUGUAGUAGAUUUGUUUUCCGGGGAUUCACACCAUUUCCAGCAAGUCUAGCUUACAAGGUUCAUACUGAUGCGGAUCCAUCAUCACUCGUCACUGGAUC